Molecule: non-coding RNA, 532 nt
Organism: Lactuca sativa (garden lettuce)
Lineage: Eukaryota; Viridiplantae; Streptophyta; Magnoliopsida; Asterales; Asteraceae
Source: RefSeq, a predicted model, not a curated record
UAUUUUUUCUAAGUUUACACGAUUACCCUCAAAUCGGACGAUGUAUACCAGAAAACACAUCACGUACAAGAAAUUCUGCAUAAUGAUCAAGCCAUUCAAGUCUUCAAUCUUCGUCCCUGCCACACUGAUAACAUCACAGGUCUCGUUGGUGGCGUCGGAGGUUUGGGGUUCCGUUACAGGUCUUGUUGGUGGCGUCGGAGCCUCGGAGCCUCGGAUGUGUGCGAGCGGCUGAGCGCCGGAGGACGGAGGACCUUCACUUCACUCUUCAGUCGUCUACUCGUCUUCAGUGGGAUGCGCCAAUGGGGAAUGCGAGACUGCGAGUACCAAGUACCUCUUCUUCGAAGGGGAAGGAGCUGACGCGGUAGCGGCCCAUCACACACACGCCUUGUAUUCCGCAUUAUGAGAUCCUCCUGAGAAUUUGUACUCUGACUUUAUUAUGUUUUUAUGAAAUGUUUUUCAAGACAUGCGAUAACUUUUAUGAAAUGAUAUGAUCAGUGAAGUUGGCAUAUGUUAAGUCAUAAUUUCCUUUUCA